AGAUUAAGUUAUUAAGGGCGCACGGUGGAUGCCUUGGCACUAGAAGCCGAAGAAGGACGUUACUAACGACGAUAUGCUUUGGGGAGCUGUAAGUAAGCUUUGAUCCAGAGAUUUCCGAAUGGGGAAACCCAGCAUGAGUUAUGUCAUGUUAUCCAUAUGUGAAUACAUAGCAUAUGAGAAGGCACACCCGGAGAACUGAAACAUCUAAGUACCCGGAGGAAGAGAAAGAAAAUUCGAUUCCCUUAGUAGCGGCGAGCGAAACGGGAAGAGCCCAAACCAGGGUGCUUGCACCCUGGGGUUGUAGGACACUCAGCACGGAGUUACAAAGGAAGACAUUAGACGAAUCAUCUGGAAAGAUGAAUCAAAGAAGGUAAUAAUCCUGUAGUCGAAAAUGUUGUCUCUCUUGAGUGGAUCCUGAGUACGACGGAGCACGUGAAAUUCCGUCGGAAUCUGGGAGGACCAUCUCCUAAGGCUAAAUACUCUCUAGUGACCGAUAGUGAACCAGUACCGUGAGGGAAAGGUGAAAAGCACCCCGGAAGGGGAGUGAAAUAGAACCUGAAACCGUGUGCUUACAAGUAGUCAGAGCCCGUUAAUGGGUGAUGGCGUGCCUUUUGUAGAAUGAACCGGCGAGUUACGAUCUGAUGCAAGGUUAAGCAGUAUAUGUGGAGCCGUAGCGAAAGCGAGUCUGAAUAGGGCGAAUGAGUAUCAGGUCGUAGACCCGAAACCAGGUGAUCUACCCAUGUCCAGGUUGAAGUUCAGGUAACACUGAAUGGAGGACCGAACCGACUUACGUUGAAAAGUGAGCGGAUGAGGUGUGGGUAGCGGAGAAAUUCCAAUCGAACCUGGAGAUAGCUGGUUCUCUCCGAAAUAGCUUUAGGGCUAGCCUCGCAUGAUGAUUACUGGAGGUAGAGCACUGUUUGGACUAGGGGCCCCCCUCGGGUUACCGAAUUCAGACAAACUCCGAAUGCCAGAUAAUCUAAUGCGGGAGUCAGACUGCGGGUGAUAAGGUCCGUAGUCGAGAGGGAAACAGCCCAGACCACCAGCUAAGGUCCCAAAAUAUAUGUUAAGUGGAAAAGGAUGUGGCGUUGCCCAGACAACUAGGAUGUUGGCUUAGAAGCAGCCAUCAUUUAAAGAGUGCGUAAUAGCUCACUAGUCGAGUGACGCUGCGCCGAAAAUGUACCGGGGCUAAACAUAUUACCGAAGCUGUGGAUUGUCCUUUGGACAAUGGUAGGAGAGCGUUCUAAGGGCGUUGAAGCAUGAUCGUAAGGACAUGUGGAGCGCUUAGAAGUGAGAAUGCCGGUGUGAGUAGCGAAAGACGGGUGAGAAUCCCGUCCACCGAUUGACUAAGGUUUCCAGAGGAAGG
RNAcentral lists this ribosomal RNA (1363 nucleotides) under Staphylococcus aureus. Its description in RNAcentral is "bacterial LSU rRNA". It matches the Rfam family "Bacterial large subunit ribosomal RNA", at positions 1 to 1364 of the family's 2925-position model. Lineage: Bacteria; Bacillati; Bacillota; Bacilli; Caryophanales; Staphylococcaceae. The record is from RNAcentral.